This 466-nucleotide ribosomal RNA is filed under the name uncultured bacterium. Its description in RNAcentral is "partial 16S ribosomal RNA". It matches the Rfam family "Bacterial small subunit ribosomal RNA", at positions 28 to 507 of the family's 1533-position model. The record is from RNAcentral.
GACGAACGCUGGCGGCGCGCCUAACACAUGCAAGUCGAACGAGCGAGAGAGAGCUUGCUUUCUUGAGCGAGUGGCGAACGGGUGAGUAACGCGUGAGGAACCUGCCUCAAAGAGGGGGACAACAGUUGGAAACGACUGCUAAUACCGCAUAAGCCCACGACCCGGCAUCGGGUUGAGGGAAAAGGAGCAAUCCGCUUUGAGAUGGCCUCGCGUCCGAUUAGCUAGUUGGUGAGGUAACGGCCCACCAAGGCGACGAUCGGUAGCCGGACUGAGAGGUUGAACGGCCACAUUGGGACUGAGACACGGCCCAGACUCCUACGGGAGGCAGCAGUGGGGAAUAUUGCACAAUGGGGGAAACCCUGAUGCAGCGACGCCGCGUGGAGGAAGAAGGUCUUCGGAUUGUAAACUCCUGUUGUUGAGGAAGAUAAUGACGGUACUCAACAAGGAAGUGACGGCUAACUACGUG